Molecule: long non-coding RNA, 2574 nt
Organism: Musa acuminata AAA Group (dessert banana)
Lineage: Eukaryota; Viridiplantae; Streptophyta; Magnoliopsida; Zingiberales; Musaceae
Exons: 6
Source: RefSeq, a predicted model, not a curated record
CGAAAAAACCCCGUGGGCGGGAAGGCCUAAUGCUCGUCUUAUUUCGCCUUAACCCUACCGCCUCGACCUCCUUCGCAACCCUAAGAAGGAUGCCUCCUUCCUUGCCGAGAUGGCCGACUUCCUCCGAAGCGCCCCCGCCGUCGCCUUGCAACCCUCUCUCGAUGUAGAGAAGAGAAGAAGGCUGACUCGGAUGGGGGUUUUGGGAGUGGCGGUGCCCCAUUAGGUGGGCAUGCGAUCGGUGAUUCUGCGGCAGAAGGGAUUCUAAUGUGCCUACAAGAACUUUGAAAGAAAUGCCAUCUUGGGUCUGUGGAUCAGUUUAGCGAGUGUGGGAAAUUCUUUAUGGCAAGCAAAGGAGGGCACCGGCCACAGCCAGUAAAUGAAUGUGAUAUUUAUUCAGCUGUUUCUGAUCAUCCCUGAUGCAGCAAGACUUCCCUGACUAUAGUGAUCAAUUGUUACCUGAAUUUGGAUCUGCAACAUGUGCUCCAAUUAUUCAUGUUGCUGAAUUUGGAUGCAGCAAGACAUCGCCUCCUCUCGUCCCUUUCCUCGCAAAUCGCCAGAUAUUCAUCCCCUCUCUUUCUUGACCAUAUUUCUUCGUGCUUUUUUUUUUUUUUCCAUUCUUCUAUUGUUUUGGUAUCUGAAAGGACCUGAAUUCUAGGUUUUCGUUGGGUUUCCAUCAAACUUCUUCGUGCAAAUUUCCUCAUGGUCCUUUUCUUUCUUGAUCAAUAUUUCUUCGAUCUUGUCCUGUCGAAUGGGUUCUUGACUUGAUUUAAGUUUUUAGGUGUUGUUUUUUUUGGUGGCCAGAUGAGCGAGGAGCCAUAGGAGGCCGUUGAUCGAUUGAGGAAACUUUUGAGGACGUAGGGGCUUGUCGGUGGAAAGUGGUUUGAUGACUACGAUGCCAAGACUGUUCAGCACCUUGCUGAUUCUCCUUCCAAACAAAUCGAGAUAUUGGACCCAAAUCAAUCAGCAUCUUCUUCAACUAAAAUCGAAUGCUUACAAUCUGAUAUAGUUGCCUUAAAUUAAAUUGAGAGCUUCUAUCUUGCCAAAGUUACUUGUAAGAAUUACUGUCUCUUUUUUGUAGAUCUUUUCUUUCAACUAAGCGUUUAUGGUUUUCUAAUUAUUUGGAAUGAACAUGCACUAGUAAAGCAUGAACACAUUGAUAACCCAGAGGAGGUGGGAACACAACUUUCUGGUUAAUGCCAAUUCAACCCCAAUUCAAUCUGCACUCUGAAGAAGCUAAUAUGAGUAAAAUAUGCCACGUUUGUUGAAGCACCAGCGCAUGAAAUUCUGUUUAAUAUAGGUAACAAAUAUUUUCCUGUUCAUGUUUUUUUUUCAAGCAUUAAUAGCAUAAUCAUAAUGUACCAUAUAUUUGUUGAUUUUUUAUUAAUAGCAUACUGUACCAUAUAACUGUUGAUUUUUUUUCUAGUUCACAUGUCAAGAUUUUCUUUGUAGAUUGCAAUAGAAGUGAUGAUAUUCUUGUGUUUGCUUUAGUUGAAAGGGUUACAAGAUUGGAGUAUAACUAUCUUCCUUAAAUGAGCGUGGGUGUAAUAUGCCCUCCCACAUGCUAAAGAAGAGUUAAAAUACAUUUAGUUAGCAUUGUCUUCCUUGUAUAUUGGCAUUCUUGACAUAGAAAGCUAAUCGUUUUGCUUUGAGCAACAUGCAUAUAUGACCCUUAUCGUUGAAUGACCAAUAUCAAUUAUUAUUCUUACUGCAACUCAAUCACUAGUUAGGAUAAAGAAUGCCUCUUAUGGUAUUGCAGCAAGGUGUUACCAAGCUGGUUUUGCCUAAAUUGUGUGAUACCCUUGCGUGUCUGUCUACAAAGGGGCAGCUUUCCUAAAACCACUUAUGGUCCCUUAAGGAUAGAAGAUGGGUUAAAAAAAACAUUUAACUUUCGAUCCACAAGCAAUCAUUUUAGUAAACACAUAAUAGACAAUGUAAGUUAUAAACACAGACUUCGCAAGCUUUGAACGGUGGUUCACCAUGGUCCAAAGUCCUGAUAAGUGCCCACAUGACAUUACUACUGAAUAAGGCAACGAACCAGCCUUAGAUACUACCCCAAAGACCCAUCUAGUCAUGUGUCACCCGGGUAGCUCCUAGGUGUUGUAUUAGUUGACACUCUACAUCACUUCGCGGAGCUAAAAAACCCUAAAAAUAACUACUUGGAUGGCUUGUUUCUAGGUAAUUUUGUCUUUACGUGAUGAUUGCACAUAACUUGCAUUUAUAAGUCUGAAAUGAUCAUAAAAGCCAACCAAAUUGGGGUUAUCAAAUCUACUACAAGCAUUCUACAUGUGUAAAGCAUCAACACAGUCUUAUGGAUUUGCAUUUGAUAUGUUUUUUUCUUAAUUUUGCCUCAACUAUUGCACUCCAUUUCGAGAUGGACGAAAAGCUUGAUCGCAUGGUGACUCACCUUAGCCUCAGGAUGAAGAUAUGCUCGAGCCCUUGCUUGCUAAGAUACUCCCUUAUUAUAUCUUUUCUUCUGCCUCUCCUAACACAUUGUAAUCAUUAUUUUGUUGAUUUUGUUGUAUCGAAAGUGAUAAUGAUGGAAAAUAAUAAUUCGAAAUGGCAGACGUCACAUGA